AUUUCCCUACGGGACGCAGCAGUAGGGAAUAUUGCUCAAUGGGGGAAACCCUGAAGCAGCAACGCCGCGUGGAGGAUGAAGGUGUUCGGAUUGUAAAUUCCUUUUGUUAGAGAAGAUAAUGACGGUAUCUAACGAAUAAGCACCGGCUAACUCCGUGCCAGCAGCCGCGGUAAUACGGAGGGUGCAAGCGUUACUCGGAAUCACUGGGCGUAAAGAGCGCGUAGGCGGGAUAGCAAGUAAGAUGUGAAAUCCUAUGGCUUAACCAUAGAACUGCAUUUGAAACUGUUAUUCU
Molecule: ribosomal RNA, 292 nt
Filed under: uncultured bacterium
Lineage: Bacteria
Description: partial 16S ribosomal RNA
Rfam family: Bacterial small subunit ribosomal RNA
Source: RNAcentral